CAAAGUGCUAUUCGUGCAGGUAGUGUGAAAACUUACUCUACUGCAAAAGCAGCACUUAAAGA
RNAcentral lists this microRNA precursor (62 nucleotides) under Microcaecilia unicolor. RNAcentral's name for it is "Mun-Mir-17-P4d_pre stem-loop". It matches the Rfam family "mir-17 microRNA precursor family", at positions 11 to 80 of the family's 80-position model. Rfam says of the family: This family represents the microRNA (miRNA) precursor mir-17, family, which includes mir-20, mir-91, and mir-103. miRNAs are transcribed as ~70nt precursors (modelled here) and subsequently processed by the Dicer enzyme to give a ~22nt product. Lineage: Eukaryota; Metazoa; Chordata; Amphibia; Gymnophiona; Siphonopidae. The record is from RNAcentral.